Molecule: non-coding RNA, 28 nt
Filed under: Bombyx mori (domestic silkworm)
Lineage: Eukaryota; Metazoa; Arthropoda; Insecta; Lepidoptera; Bombycidae
Source: RNAcentral
UAACACUAAACCAAUGUACCACGCGCGA